CAGCGUAGAUCACAACUGACAUAUAUACAUAAACUAGGUUACAAAGUUGUAAACUUUAUUCUUUUACUGACUUUAGACGUCUUUACGUCUCAUUUAGAGGUUGGUAACAGUGCUGCUGAAGUGAAUGGACCACUAAACAUGUAUUAAGCAAACCAGCCAUUUUCCCCAUGCCAUCUUGCCCUUGAUAGCAGUGAGGAGUUGAAGUUAAAUGCAUGUAUCUGUCUCUUCCAUAACAUUUUCGGUCUAAAUGUCUGUAGAUGUGUUGAAGAAUUAACAGCACUAGACUUCAGUAGUUUGCUUUGUGAAAGGUGCAGAAAAAACAAGCUGAUUUACUCAAAAUGACAAAACUGGAUACUUGGAAGCAUGAAAAUGUUGAAUCAAUCAUUACAUUAAUGUUUACUGCACG
Limulus polyphemus (Atlantic horseshoe crab) is the source of this 406-nucleotide long non-coding RNA. RefSeq lists it as uncharacterized. The transcript has 4 exons. The record is from RefSeq and is a predicted model, not a curated record. NCBI's taxonomy places the organism in Eukaryota, Metazoa, Arthropoda, Merostomata, Xiphosura, Limulidae.